This 1563-nucleotide ribosomal RNA is filed under the name Triticum aestivum (bread wheat). Its description in RNAcentral is "partial small subunit ribosomal RNA". Lineage: Eukaryota; Viridiplantae; Streptophyta; Magnoliopsida; Poales; Poaceae. The record is from RNAcentral.
AUGACGGAAAUUUUUUUUGUCCAAACACUAAUUGGUCGUGUAUUAGUAGACGAUAUAUAUAUAUAUCGGUUCACGAUGCAUUGCCGCGCGAAAUCAAGAUAUUGGAAUUGGAUUAGUCAAUCGAUUCAUAACUGCCUUUCGAGCACAACCAUUUCGAGCACAACCAAUAUAUAUAUUAGAACCCCCUUUACUUGCCGAAGCACUUCUUGGAUCUGUCAAUUAUGCUAUGGCCGGAGUCCUACUCAUAGUGAUCUGGUCGAAUUGGGAGAAGCCGUAGGUAUUAUUGCAGGUCAAUCAAUUGGGGAGCCAGGGACUCAACUAACAUUAAGAACUUUUCAUACUGGCGGAGUAUUCACAAGGGGUAAUGCCGACCUUGUACGAUCCCCUUCGAAUGGAAAAAUAAAAUUCAAUGAGAAUUUGGUUCACCCCACACGUACCCGUCAUGGGCAGCCUGCUUUUCUAUGUUAUAUAGACUUGCAUGUAACUAUUCAGAGUCAAGAUAUUCUAUAUAGUGUGAAUAUUCCCUCAAAAAGCUUGAUUCUAACGCAAAAUGAUCAAUAUGUAAAAUCCGAACAAGUAAUUGCGAAGAUUCGUGCCGGAACGUCCACUUUACAUUUUAAAGAAAGGGUACAAAAGCAUAUUUAUUCUGAAUCAGACGGCAAAAUGCACUGGAGUACUGAUGUUUACCAUGCGCCCGAAUAUCAAUAUGGUAAUCUUCGCCGAUUACCAAAAACAAGCCAUUUAUGGAUAUUGUCAGUAAGUAUGUGCAGAUCCAGUAUAGCGUCUUUUUCACUCCACAAGGAUCAAGAUCAAAUGAAUACUUAUGGUAAAAAAGAUAGGGAAAUUCUUGAUUAUUCAACGUCGGAUCGAAUCAUGUCCAAUGGCCAUUGGAAUUUUAUCUAUCCUUCUAUUUUUCAAGAUAAUUCAGAUUUUUUGGCGAAAAAGCGAAGAAAUAGGUUCGUCAUUCCAUUACAAGAUCAGCAAGAACAAGAGAAAGAACUAAUAUCAUGUUUUGGGAUUUCGAUUGAAAUCCCCCUUAUUGGUGUUUUACGUAGAAAUACUAUUUUUGCUUAUUUUGACGAUCCCCGAUACAGAAAAGAUAAAAAGGGUUCAGGAAUUGUUAAAUUUAGAUAUAGGACCCUAGAAGAAGAAUAUAGGACUCGAGCGGAAGACUCAGAAGAGGAAUAUGAGAGCCUAGAAGACGAGUACAGGACCCGAGAGGAUGAAUAUGAAUAUGAAACCCUAGAAGAAUCUAAAUAUGGAAUCCUAGAAGACGAAUACGAAUAUGAAACCCUAGAAGACGAAUAUGGGAGCCCAGAAAACAAAUAUGGGAACCCAGAGAACGAAUAUAGGACUUUAGAGAAAGACUUAGAAGAGGAAUAUGGGAGCCCAGAGAGCAAAUAUAGGACCCAAGAGGACGAAUAUGGAACUCUAGAGGAAGACUCAGAAGACGAAUAUGGCAGCCCCGGGGAAAGCGCAGAGGAAAAAUAUGGUACUUUAGAGGAAGACUCAGAAGAAGAUUCAGAGGACGAAUACGAGAGCCCAGUGGAAGAAUCCAUCUAA